RNAcentral lists this ribosomal RNA (481 nucleotides) under uncultured bacterium. RNAcentral describes it as "partial 16S ribosomal RNA". It matches the Rfam family "Bacterial small subunit ribosomal RNA", at positions 30 to 507 of the family's 1533-position model. The record is from RNAcentral.
UUGCACGCUGGCGGCAUGCUUUACACCUGCAAGUCGCACGGUAACAGGCCGCAAGGUGCUGACGAGUGGCGAACGGGUGAGUAAUGCAUCGGAACGUGCCCAGUCGUGGGGGAUAACUACUCGAAAGAGUAGCUAAUACCGCAUACGAUCUAUGGAUGAAAGCGGGGGACCGUAAGGCCUCGCGCGAUUGGAGCGGCCGAUGUCAGAUUAGGUAGUUGGUGGGGUAAAGGCUCACCAAGCCAACGAUCUGUAGCUGGUCUGAGAGGACGACCAGCCACACUGGGACUGAGACACGGCCCAGACUCCUACGGGAGGCAGCAGUGGGGAAUUUUGGACAAUGGGCGCAAGCCUGAUCCAGCAAUGCCGCGUGCAGGAAGAAGGCCUUCGGGUUGUAAACUGCUUUUGUACGGAACGAAACGGCUCUGGUUAAUACCCGGGGCUAAUGACGGUACCGUAAGAAUAAGCACCGGCUAACUACGUG